AUCCAGUUGACGAGUCCUACGUAAGACGAAACGUGCGUUCUGGAU
RNAcentral lists this non-coding RNA (45 nucleotides) under Schistosoma mattheei. Lineage: Eukaryota; Metazoa; Platyhelminthes; Trematoda; Strigeidida; Schistosomatidae. The record is from RNAcentral.